UUGUUGAAUUUAGUUGUAGAACGAGGGAGAACAAGAAUUCUAGAUUCAAAACCACACAGAUUUCUGUUCCUGUUUAUGGAAGGACUUCUACUGACAUCUACCAGAAGAAAGAAACAAAUCAGCACAUUUUUGAUUGAAUGGAAAAACCAACAUUA
Sphaeramia orbicularis (orbiculate cardinalfish) is the source of this 155-nucleotide long non-coding RNA. RefSeq lists it as uncharacterized. The transcript is spliced from 3 exons. Lineage: Eukaryota; Metazoa; Chordata; Actinopteri; Kurtiformes; Apogonidae. The record is from RefSeq and is a predicted model, not a curated record.